GAUUGCAGGCUGCAACCCGCCUGCAUGAAGUCGGAAUUGCUAGUAAUCGCGGAUCAGCAUGCCGCGGUGAAUACGUUCCCGGGCCUUGUACACACCGCCCGUCACACCAUGGGAGCCGGUAAUACCCGAAGUCAGUAGUCCAACCACGUGAGGACGCUGCCGAAGGUAGGAUUGGCGACUGGGGUGAAGUCGUAACAAGGUAAC
Molecule: ribosomal RNA, 204 nt
Filed under: uncultured bacterium
Lineage: Bacteria
Description: partial 16S ribosomal RNA
Rfam family: Bacterial small subunit ribosomal RNA
Source: RNAcentral